RNAcentral lists this unclassified non-coding RNA (510 nucleotides) under Hevea brasiliensis (rubber tree). The record is from RNAcentral. Lineage: Eukaryota; Viridiplantae; Streptophyta; Magnoliopsida; Malpighiales; Euphorbiaceae.
GAUAUAUUCUGUUGUUGCUGUGGACAACUUCUUGGGUGGAAAUAUGUGGCAACACAUGACAAAAGCCAAAAGUACAAGGAAGGAAAGUUUGUUAUUGAAAGAUGGAGGAUAGUUGAGGAGGGGAGUGAGGAAUUCAAUUUGGAAGCUCUACCCAGUUCAAGUGAUGCAGAGAGUCAUUAGGAAUUUAAUGCAACUUUGUGAAAUCAAUGGUGCAGAAAGUAUUAGAGUUUUAGGAGUUAUAAACUUGAGACCUUGAAACCUCUGUAAAAAGUGCAGGUUUGGUGGAGUUGAGGAAUGGGGUUACAUCAAAGAAUUAGAAUAUGCGCAUUUAUAUCCUCUACGCACAUCAAAUCUUGAUUGCUGGAUUCAGAUGUGGAAGUAAUAGUUUUUGGAAGGGAUUAAAACCAAGAAAAUAAACCAGUUUCUGUAUUAUGGGAUUAAUUUUCGUUUGUUGUGGUGUUUAACUAACGUGAAAAGCAAAGUCAAUAAACACCGAACUCCCCAUGGUAG